Lycium ferocissimum is the source of this 390-nucleotide long non-coding RNA. RefSeq lists it as uncharacterized. NCBI's taxonomy places the organism in Eukaryota, Viridiplantae, Streptophyta, Magnoliopsida, Solanales, Solanaceae. The transcript has 2 exons. The record is from RefSeq and is a predicted model, not a curated record.
AGAAAAAUUCAUCAGAAAAACUUGUGUUUAUAUCUGAAGAGAUGGCUAGCGUUUGCUUUACAACAUUGUUCUUGGUUUAUGUCAUUCUAAUUGCCAUCAUUGGUUUGUUUUGCUUGGAAAUUGCAGCAAAUCCACCAUGCAAGAAGAAGCAAGAUUGUUAUUAUUUUUGUUAUCCAUUUGAAUGGACCGCCGUGUGCCGAGAUGGACAGUGUCACUGUACUUAGGGAUAUGGAUUUGCAUUGAAAACCACUAAAUAUUUGAAAGUUCUAAAGCACUUAUAUGUGCGGAGAAAAUUAAAUUAAAUUUUCAAUGUAGUGGUUAUUAUACAUGUAUCAACCCUUAAAGACAUACUCAAGUCUUGAAUAAAUGAGCUAUGGAGUUAAUUAUCAA